Molecule: ribosomal RNA, 237 nt
Filed under: uncultured bacterium
Lineage: Bacteria
Description: partial 16S ribosomal RNA
Rfam family: Bacterial small subunit ribosomal RNA
Source: RNAcentral
CGGGACGGGUGAGUAACGCGUGGGUAACCGUGCCUCAUACAGGGGGAUAACGAUUGGAAACGAUUGCUAAUACCGCAUAAGCGCACAGUACCACAUGGUACAGUGUGAAAAACUCCGGUGGUAUGAGAUGGACCCGCGUCUGAUUAGCUAGUUGGUGGGGUAGCGGCCCACCAAGGCAACGAUCAGUAGCCGACCUGAGAGGGUGACCGGCCACAUUGGGACUGAGACACGGCCCAG